AACGCGAAGAACCUUACCUGGGCUCGAAAUGCUAUGGACCAGCUGAUGAAAGUCGGCCUUCCCGCAAGGGACCGUAGUAUAGGUGCUGCAUGGCUGUCGUCAGCUCGUGUCGUGAGAUGUUGGGUUAAGUCCCGCAACGAGCGCAACCCUUGUCCUGUGUUGCCAUACCGAAAGGUGGAACUCGCAGGAGACCGCCAGGGAUAACCUGGAGGAAGGUGGGGAUGACGUCAAGUCCUCAUGGCCUUUAUGUCCAGGGCUACACACGUGCUACAAUGGACGGUACAAAGGGCUGCCAACCCGCGAGGGGGAGCCAAUCCCAAAAAACCGUUCUCAGUUCGGAUUGCAGGCUGCAACUCGCCUGCAUGAAGCUGGAAUCGCUAGUAAUGGCGGAUCAGAACGCCGCCGUGAAUACGUUCCCGGGCCUUGUA
This 428-nucleotide ribosomal RNA is filed under the name uncultured Acidobacterium sp. RNAcentral's name for it is "bacterial SSU rRNA". It matches the Rfam family "Bacterial small subunit ribosomal RNA", at positions 958 to 1385 of the family's 1533-position model. Lineage: Bacteria; Pseudomonadati; Acidobacteriota; Terriglobia; Terriglobales; Acidobacteriaceae. The record is from RNAcentral.